Long non-coding RNA from Dreissena polymorpha, 1610 nucleotides. RefSeq lists it as uncharacterized. Lineage: Eukaryota; Metazoa; Mollusca; Bivalvia; Myida; Dreissenidae. The record is from RefSeq and is a predicted model, not a curated record. The transcript is spliced from 3 exons.
AGCUAACAUGCUGGCGAAGUGAAACACAAUUUUUUUUUCAUAAUUACUAUCCCGGAUCAUGAUAUCUUUGAUAAUUGCAUUGAUCUACAUUUUUCCUUAAAAAUACAAUUUCGUUUAUUACACAUAAACAACAUUUAUUUACCCGAAUGACAUGCAGUAAAACGAUCCACGUUUGACAUAUCCUAAAUCCCGUUCUUUUUCUUGAUCAUACAAUACCCUUGGUAUUAUCACAAACAGUAUAAACUUACAUACUUUUUAAUUUUAUCAGCAUAUUCUUGUGUUGUUGCUUUUUCAUUAUUUGAUAUCUUUGGGUCAGUGUUACUAUUGUUGUGUGUUUUGUAUGAUACACAAAAUAUUAUAAAUUUGCAUAACAAUACUGUCUGUCUGUCUGUCUGUCUGUCUGUCUAAAUAGGUGGAAUAUCAAAUGUCACAUUAACAUUUAAGUUUAAAUUUUUGGUGGGUGACAUGUCAGUCACUAACCGGAUCCAAUUAAAACAUAACAAUCAAAUAAUACUCCAACAACAAACUCUAACUGUACACACAUAUAUACUUUUCCUAUGUAUUAUCCUUUUUUUUGAACGAUAACCAAAAUACAUUAAAAGUAUUAAUCAAAUAUCAAAAUUAUGCCCAUGCAAAAUUAAUGCUGGUAGGUGACGUGUCAGUAACUUGCAAAAGCAAUAAAACACAAAUACUCGCCAAGACCAACAUUGAAACAGGAUGCUCUCACACAGUUAAGAAGUACCCAAUGACUAAAACAGCACCAAGCAAAGCCUCACCAUAGACAAGGGCUCAUAACCAGUUUUCAAACACAACAUGUGCAGCCUGCAAGAUGAGUCAUGACGACUGAAUAUGGCACAGAUGACUACAGGGAUAAAUAUACCUGAAGUAAACCUUGGAGGAAAAGUUCACCCAGUACAGGGCUCGAACUCACAACAGUUGGAACACUAGCAUAGGGAUCUACCAACUGAGCUAUAUUACCCAUGCAUAACUCACUCCUUCAUUAAAACUUUAAGCCGACACAAUUAUAAACCCAGGACAAAAAGUGCUCACUAGUGAUUUAAGUUUAUGACCGUGAAGACUGCUUGUCAAGACUGCUAUGUUUUUGAUAAUCAAUAUGCUCUUAUUCACAUUAUUAUCAAGCUCCCAUUGAUGUGAUGUAAAAUGAAUUAUUUGUUACAUUCAACAACCAUAUCCCCAUAAUAAUGAAUUUAGACCGUUAUUUGAUAUUAUUGUAGGUGAUGUUUUUAACCGUGUGCGACUUCUAGUCAUAUUGCACUUAAGUUACCACAGUCAUGAACAGAUUUUAACAGAAUUUGUUUUAUAGACUGAUUGUUAAUUUUGAAAAGUCAAGUGGGCACUUAACAUAGAAUCAAAUUUGUAUGUCCAUAUGUAUGCUACAAAUACAAGUGUCCGUGUUUAUUGUGUGAUAUUGAUUUAUUAAACACACAAAUAAGAAACGAAUUAAAUAAAUAUUUAAAAAAAUCAUAAUAUGAACAUAUGAUAAUAUCCUUGGCAUGUUCUGCAUUGGAAUGAUAUUCUGGAGUUCAAGAUCCAAUUUGUUAGUGGUUGAAUAAACAGCUACACAUCUUUUCGCUUGUAGUACACAUGAA